GAUGAACGCUAGCUACAGGCUUAACACAUGCAAGUCGAGGGGCAGCGCAGUGUAGCAAUACAUGGGCGGCGACCGGCGCACGGGUGCGUAACGCGUAUCCAACCUUCCCGUUACUCAGGGAUAGCCUUCCGAAAGGGAGAUUAAUACCUGAUGGUGUUUGAAUUCCGCAUGUUAUUCAAACUAAAGAUUUAUCGGUAACGGAUGGGGAUGCGUGACAUUAGAUAGUAGGCGGGGUAACGGCCCACCUAGUCUACGAUGUCUAGGGGUUCUGAGAGGAAGGUCCCCCACACUGGAACUGAGACACGGUCCAGACUCCUACGGGAGGCAGCAGUGAGGAAUAUUGCACAAUGGGGGAAACCCUGAUGCAGCAACGCCGCGUGAAGGAAGACGGUCUUCGGAUUGUAAACUUUUGUUCUUAGUGAAGAAUUAUGACGGUAGCUAAGGAGAAAGCCACGGCUAACUACGUG
This 467-nucleotide ribosomal RNA is filed under the name uncultured bacterium. RNAcentral describes it as "bacterial SSU rRNA". It matches the Rfam family "Bacterial small subunit ribosomal RNA", at positions 28 to 507 of the family's 1533-position model. The record is from RNAcentral.